UACGUAGGAUGCAAGCGUUGUCCGGAAUUAUUGGGCGUAAAGAGCGCGCAGGCGGUCUGACAAGUCAGAUGUGAAAGAGGCCGGCUUAACCGGCAAGGGUCAUUUGAAACUGUCAGACUAGAGUGCAGCAGAGGAUAGUGGAAUUCCCGGUGUAGUGGUGAAAUGCGUAGAUAUCGGGAGGAACACCAGUGGCGAAGGCGGCUUUCUGGUCUGUAACUGACGCUGAGGCGCGAAAGCGUGGGGAGCAAACAGG
Molecule: ribosomal RNA, 253 nt
Filed under: uncultured bacterium
Lineage: Bacteria
Description: partial 16S ribosomal RNA
Rfam family: Bacterial small subunit ribosomal RNA
Source: RNAcentral